GAUGAACGCUGGCGGCGUGCCUAAUACAUGCAAGUCGAGCGAACAGACGAGGAGCUUGCUCCUCUGACGUUAGCGGCGGACGUGUGUGUAACACGUGGAUAACCUACCUAUAAGACUGGGAUAAGCUCGGGACACCGGAGCUAAUACCGGAUAAUAUAUUUAACCGCAUGGUUCAAUAGUGAAAGACGGUUUUGCUGUCACUUAUAGAUGGAUCCCAGCCGCAUUAGCUAGUUGGUAAGGUAACGGCUUACCAAGGCAACGAUGCGUAGCCGACCUGAGAGGGUGAUCGGCCACACUGGAACUGAGACACGGUCCAGACUCCUACGGGAGGCAGCAGUAGGGAAUCUUGCGCAAUGGGCGAAAGCCUGACGGAGCAACGCCGCGUGAGUGAAGAAGGUCUUCGGAUCGUAAAGCUCUGUUAUUAGGGAAGAACAAAUGUGUAAGUAAAUAUGCACGUCUUGACGGUACCUAAUCAGAAAGCCACGGCUAACUACGUG
This 497-nucleotide ribosomal RNA is filed under the name uncultured bacterium. RNAcentral's name for it is "partial 16S ribosomal RNA". It matches the Rfam family "Bacterial small subunit ribosomal RNA", at positions 28 to 507 of the family's 1533-position model. The record is from RNAcentral.